GUGUGAAUUACAUGGGGAUUUUUCCUUGGGGAUUAGUAUGAAAAUCCGUAGGAAACUUAUAUUCCUGCAAAUUUUCAUACUAAUCCCCAGGAAAAUCCCCAUGUAAUUCACAC
RNAcentral lists this microRNA precursor (113 nucleotides) under Solanum tuberosum (potato). RNAcentral's name for it is "mir-399 microRNA precursor family". It matches the Rfam family "mir-399 microRNA precursor family". From Rfam's summary of the family: mir-399 was identified in both Arabidopsis thaliana and Oryza sativa computationally and was later experimentally verified. mir-399 is thought to target mRNAs coding for a phosphatase transporter. The record is from Rfam by way of RNAcentral. Lineage: Eukaryota; Viridiplantae; Streptophyta; Magnoliopsida; Solanales; Solanaceae.